GCCGGGGUGCCCUAGCCAGAGAGUUGGGCUCGGCAAGGUAGGGGGUCGGACUCGAGAUCCGAUGGCCCGCUGGGCCACGUGGGUUCAAAUCCCACCCCCGGCG
Molecule: transfer RNA, 103 nt
Filed under: Candidatus Methanodesulfokora washburnensis
Lineage: Archaea; Thermoproteati; Thermoproteota; Candidatus Korarchaeia
Description: Candidatus Korarchaeota archaeon MDKW tRNA-Ser
Rfam family: tRNA
About the family: Transfer RNA (tRNA) molecules are approximately 80 nucleotides in length. Their secondary structure includes four short double-helical elements and three loops (D, anti-codon, and T loops). Further hydrogen bonds mediate the characteristic L-shaped molecular structure. tRNAs have two regions of fundamental functional importance: the anti-codon, which is responsible for specific mRNA codon recognition, and the 3' end, to which the tRNAs corresponding amino acid is attached (by aminoacyl-tRNA synthetases). tRNAs cope with the degeneracy of the genetic code in two manners: having more than one tRNA (with a specific anti-codon) for a particular amino acid; and 'wobble' base-pairing, i.e. permitting non-standard base-pairing at the 3rd anti-codon position.
Source: RNAcentral